CAGCGGAGGGAUCAUUACCGAGUUUACAACUCCCAAACCCAAUGUGAACGUUACCAAACUGUUGCCUCGGCGGGAUCUCUGCCCCGGGUGCGUCGCAGCCCCGGACCAAGGCGCCCGCCGGAGGACCAACCUAAAACUCUUAUUGUAUACCCCCUCGCGGGUUUUUUUAUAAUCUGAGCCUUCUCGGCGCCUCUCGUAGGCGUUUCGAAAAUGAAUCAAAACUUUCAACAACGGAUCUCUUGGUUCUGGCAUCGAUGAAGAACGCAGCGAAAUGCGAUAAGUAAUGUGAAUUGCAGAAUUCAGUGAAUCAUCGAAUCUUUGAACGCACAUUGCGCCCGCCAGUAUUCUGGCGGGCAUGCCUGUCCGAGCGUCAUUUCAACCCUCGAACCCCUCCGGGGGGUCGGCGUUGGGGAUCGGCCCUCCCUUAGCGGGUGGCCGUCUCCGAAAUACAGUGGCGGUCUCGCCGCAGCCUCUCCUGCGCAGUAGUUUGCACACUCGCAUCGGGAGCGCGGCGCGUCCACAGCCGUUAAACACCCAACUUCUGAAAUGUUGACCUCGGAUCAGGUAGGAAUACCCGCUGAACUUAAG
Molecule: ribosomal RNA, 588 nt
Filed under: Trichoderma harzianum
Lineage: Eukaryota; Fungi; Ascomycota; Sordariomycetes; Hypocreales; Hypocreaceae
Description: eukaryotic LSU rRNA
Rfam family: 5.8S ribosomal RNA (bases 220-373)
Source: RNAcentral